Molecule: long non-coding RNA, 1873 nt
Organism: Mercenaria mercenaria
Lineage: Eukaryota; Metazoa; Mollusca; Bivalvia; Venerida; Veneridae
Exons: 3
Source: RefSeq, a predicted model, not a curated record
UUUUUGUUAACAUUAGGGAUGUCAACGAUAAUCAUAUCUGAUGUGAUGAUAGUUUACGUGCAUUUAAAUAUUUUUUACUGGAGAAAGCGUUUUGUUAUAUUAUACUUUAAAAGGACUCUAAUAUUUACAUAUGGAAAAACUGAAAGAUUUUGGUAGACAGUGCUCUUACGAAGAUCUAAUUAAUUAAAAAAACGUUGUUUUCAAUUAUCGCUAACAUUGUUCCAUAUUCUGAGUAUGAAUUUGUGAAGUAGAAAUCAUGAAGUAUUUAAAUGAAAUCGAGAAUUCUUGACGUGGUAUUUGUGAAAUCAUGAAAUCGUGAAUAAUUAAAUUCUUGAAUUUUUGACCUGAACUACGGAAAUCGUGAAUUCAUGAAGUUGUGAAAUAUUGAAUAAUUAAAAUCUUGAAUUAGUGAAAUUCUGAAAUAUUGAAAUCGAGAAUUUUUUGAAAUUGUGAAUUACUGAAAUAUUGAAUUAUUGAAUAAUUGAAAUAUUGAAUUUUCGACAUGAAACAUGGAAAUCGUGAAUAAUUGAAAUCGAGAAUUUUUGAAAUUGUGAAUUACUGAAAUAUUGACUUACUGAAAUCUUGAUUUUUUGACAUGAAAUAUGGAAAUCGUAAAUUUAUGAAGUUGUGAAUUAUUGAAUAAUUGAAAUGUUGAAUUAUUGAAUAAUUGAAAUGUUGAAUUUGUGAAAUUGUGAAUUAUUGAAAUGGAAAUCGAGAAUUCUUGAAAUUAUGAAUUAUUGAAAUACUGAAUUUGGAAAUCGCGAAUUAAUGAAAUUAAGGAACUCAAGAAUUCACGAAUUCAUGAAAUCAUGAAUUCACGACUUUUGUGUGAAAUUUGGAAAAUGUAAAUUAUUGAAUUUGAAGAAUUAACGAUUUCAAGAAAUCAUGAUUUUUGAGUGAAAUUUAGAAAUCGUGAAUUUAUGAAUUGGCGUUGUAGAGAGGGUGGACGCCCGACACGCCCGGGUGGUGGCCAUCCUGGUAAGGUCUGGUUUCCGAGCAGGGGUGGACUUUUGCGUUUUGUAAGGAACGCUCGAAAACGCUAUAUCGCCUCCAGCAGUUGAUUGCCUGGCCGUUACUGUAGAAGAAACAGGGGUGCCAUCGGGUGGGCGUUGUAGAGCGGGUAGACGCCCGACACGCCCGGGUGGUGGCCAUCCUGGUUAAGGUCUGGUUUCCGAGCAGGGGUGGACUUUUGCGUUUGGUAUUCUAUAUAAAUGAUGCAAUCGGGCUGGUCAGUUUCAAAGAUAAUUCAAUAUACACGGGUAUGAAAAAUGUGCCGCACUGAAAUGAAGGCAUCGCGCUUCCGACGGCGCAGGCAUUGCGCAGGAUGUUUACAAAAAUAACGAGUAAGACAUAAUUCGACAUGACUUACCACUGUGAAACAUGUGGAGUUACAUUUCAAAAGCUAAGCCAGCUUUUACAACAUCGACGGACAGAAAAUCACUGGCCAAAGUUUCCAUGUCCAAACUGCAAGAAAACGUUUAAAGGGAUUUACAUAGCGGUGAAAACAGCCAUCAUUGUCCGGAUUGUUUACGAGUGUUUACUCGACGUGGAGCCUUAGAUGAUCAUUUUGAUAGGUUUCAUAACCAGACUGGAGGUGCACAAAAAAGGUCCUCUACAAAUACCGAUGAAGGUCCGCUUGUAAAGAAGCUUAGGAAGGACGAUGAUCCUAAACAGUUUUAUAGUGUAAGGAAAAUUAGAGAGCAGAAAAUAGAAAAGUUUAAGACAACUGGUUCCACAUACAAGGUCAACUUUAAAAAUAUUGAGGUGACUGAAGAUGUGCUACUCACACUGAAAAGAAUAUUCAAAGCCAUAUUUGAAGACAUCACCAAGGGAGCUAAGUCAAAGGAUUUAGUAAGAUUAGUUGUGGAGUGUC